Long non-coding RNA from Onychostoma macrolepis, 1240 nucleotides. RefSeq lists it as uncharacterized. Lineage: Eukaryota; Metazoa; Chordata; Actinopteri; Cypriniformes; Cyprinidae. The record is from RefSeq and is a predicted model, not a curated record. The transcript is spliced from 4 exons.
GUUACCAGUGAUUAGAAAGUGCUUGAAGUCCCACGCACCCCCAGAGGACAACUUUUUCUUCAACAGCAAUUUGCCGCUCGGUGAAUAAUGAAAUACCACAAUUACCACAUGGUGUCGCUGCUGUCCCACAUCUAUCCACAGCUGCAGCUCACCUGAUAUGGACACCUGUUGUGUCGUUUCAUCCAGGAAUGGACAGAAGAAUGGCGCAGAUGUUCAUCUAUCUCAGAGAGCACUGUUAAAGUUUUAGCACCAUCUUAUCAAAGUGCUGAAAAGUGGAAGUCAGAGGAAACAUGACCAACCUGCUGCAAAACAAUAACACAAAAGGUCUGGACUCUGGAGUGCAUCAUUACUAGUUUGGUCAUCUACAUUCAGAUGAAAACACCACACUUCUCUCUAAUUCAAGAUGUCAAGCUUACUCAUCGCAAAGAGAGUUAGCAUCAAAAUGGACGUGACACUGACCAAUAACACAGAGAUGCCAGAAGUAUCUGUUUGCAGUUUACUUUUUGUUCAGUAUGGAGCAUCCAAAAUCCAUCACUCAGUUAAUUUCAACCAGCACGAUUUAGCCCUUCCCAGUGCUGAAAUUGUCAUGGGUCCUUUGUUUUUAUUGUUUAAAUGCUUAUCUGAAUGUAAAAUUAAUAUUUAAUGCUUAUAAAAAAACAAACAAACAAAAAACAAUACUAUAGUUAGUCUUUUAGCUCCCUUUUCAGAAACAUGUGGUUCACCAUCUUUCAUGGGUUACAGAACUGGGGAAAGUUGCAGCUUACAAAAAAAAGUCAGACUACUUGGUUUAGAGGGGAAUGUGGAGUAAAUAUUUGAUAUUUAAGGUAAAGGGUAAUGACCUGGUGGUGAGAUGCAAAAUAAGAGUGUCAUCAUUAAUAUACUAUUUGAUGACAAAAUUUUCACAUUCUAAUUUUACUUAUGUAUUUAAUUUUUUUUAAUUAUUUUUGCAAGUUAACUUUAUUUGUGCAAGUUAACAUUAAAUUUAUUUAUUUAUUUUUUGUGGUUUCUAGCAAUCAACAUAUGUUUGUGACUGACAUGUUGGAUGGGUGAGUAAGGUGGAGGGGGUUGAAAAAAACAAUAUUUCUAAAAUGGAGAGUGCUAUUUUAGACAGGUAAAAAUAAUAAAGUAUAAAUAAAUAAAGAAACAUGGAUUUAUGUUAAUCCCUGUAACUGUUGCACUAUGAAUUGCUGUGUUAUAUAUUGCUCGUCAUUGUAAAUGCUAAUAAAAGUGUCUUAAAUGA